This is a non-coding RNA of Nelumbo nucifera (sacred lotus), 1077 nucleotides long. The record is from RefSeq and is a predicted model, not a curated record. NCBI's taxonomy places the organism in Eukaryota, Viridiplantae, Streptophyta, Magnoliopsida, Proteales, Nelumbonaceae.
UUCUUGUUUUCCCUCUCACUUUCUCUCACGCACACUUUACACACUCUAUUUCUUCUGAGAAUACAUACGCCUCGAUCUUCGCCUCUGAAUUGUAUGGAAUUAUAAUAUAAGAUCCGUUUGUUUUUUGUUGUUGUCGGGAGAGGAUGAAAUGCAAAUCAAAGCGAAAAUGUCGAUUUCUGAUCUUGGUUUUGGGUUCUGUCUUCCUGCCGGCAAUGGUGUUUUGUCGAUUUUCGAAGCUUGAAAGAGCCUUUCCGGUGGACCAAAGAUUUGAGUUGAUUGAGUUUAGAGCUCGUGACAAGGGUAAGGCACCGCUGAAUUUUGCAGGGUGGGAUCGUCGAUUUUCCUGUCGAGAGUACCUACAAUCCUUACGCCGUCGGAUGCGUUGUCAACACCAGUAAUGUUGCGUGUAUAUUUUCCUCAAUUAGUACAAGAGUUAUAAGCUGUGAGUUGAUUUGCUUUUCAGGAUCGUUUGCAAUUUGCCAUCACAUUCUAAAGUCUGAUCUCAUGGCUCCCAACUCCUUUGUUCUUGCAUCUUGGCCUCCAGUAAGUCCUGUGGUGAACGAAGGAUCAACAAAGUUGUUUAGAAACUUCAUCAUCUUAUAUGGAACCUCCAUGGCUUGUCCUCAUGCUGUGGGAGUGGCAGCACUUAUGAAAGGAGUCCAUCCUGAAUGAAGCCCAACAACCAUUUGAUCUGUCAUGAUGACAACAGCAGAUUGACUCAAUAACACUAUCAAACCCAUCACAGAACUCUUAGACGACAAGCAACCCACCAGUCCUCUAGCAAUGGGAGCGGGUCACCUAAAUCCUAACAAAGCGCUCGACCUUGGACUUGUAUAUGAUGCAAAUACAACGGACUACAUGAGGCUUCUCUGCACUCUGACUUACACUAAGAAGGAAUCAAGAAGAUAACAAGGUCAUUCUCUGAUUGGUUAGCCCGUGAAGCGCCAAAGUUUAGGGAUGCCUCUUCAACAUUCAAUCCAAGAGCUCUUCCUUACGAUCUUAGUGUAAUUGUGUAUAGUGAUAUGUGGGAUGUGCUAUCCCCGUCUUGUGUAGCCCCUUCGAAUAUUAUAAAAAAAA